Molecule: ribosomal RNA, 428 nt
Filed under: uncultured archaeon
Lineage: Archaea
Description: bacterial SSU rRNA
Rfam family: Archaeal small subunit ribosomal RNA
Source: RNAcentral
UACCAGCUCUCCGAGUGGUGGGGAUGCUUAUUGGGCCUAAAGCAUUCGUAGCCUGCUUGACAAGUCCUCCGUUAAAUCCAACGAUUCAAUCGUUGGGCUGCGGGGAAUACUGUCCGGCUAGGGGGCGGGAGAGGCCGACGGUAUCCUCGGGGUAGGGGUGAAAUCCUAUAAUCCCGGGAGGACCACCAGUGGCGAAGGCUGUCGGCUAGAACGCGCUCGACGGUGAGGGAUGAAAGCUGGGGGAGCGAACCGGAUUAGAUACCCGGGUAGUCCCAGCUGUAAACGAUGCAGGCUAGGUGUUGGCGCGGCUACGUGCCGCUCCAGUGCCGCAGGGAAGCCGUUAAGCCUGCCGCCUGGGAAGUACGGCCGCAAGGCUUAAACUUAAAGGAUCGGCGGGGGAGCACCACAAGGUGUGAAGCUUGCGGUUU